This 1755-nucleotide ribosomal RNA is filed under the name Legionella pneumophila. RNAcentral's name for it is "partial 23S ribosomal RNA". It matches the Rfam family "Bacterial large subunit ribosomal RNA", at positions 1 to 1794 of the family's 2925-position model. The record is from RNAcentral. Lineage: Bacteria; Pseudomonadati; Pseudomonadota; Gammaproteobacteria; Legionellales; Legionellaceae.
UUAUAUGGUCAAGAAGAGAAGCGCAAACGGUGGAUGCCUUGGCAGUAAGAGGCGAAGAAGGACGUGGAAUCCUGCGAAAAGCUAUGGGGAGCUGGAAACGAGCGUUGAGCCAUAGAUGUCCGAAUGGGGGAACCCGGCUGCAGCGAUGCGGUCAUUUGCAUUUGAAUACAUAGGAUGCAAAGGCGAACUCGGGGAACUGAAACAUCUAAGUACCCGAAGGAAAAGAAAUCAAGAGAGAUUCUCCAAGUAGCGGCGAGCGAACGGGGAGGAGCCUGGCGUGAUUUAUUAUUGAACUGAGUAGAACAAUUUGGGAAAGUUGGCGAUAGAGGGUGAAAGCCCCGUAUACGAAGGUUUGAUGAGGAACUAGGCACGCGAACAAGUAGGCCGGGACACGUGAAAUCCUGGUUGAAGAUGGGUGGACCAUCAUCCAAGGCUAAAUACUACUUACUGACCGAUAGUGAACCAGUACCGUGAGGGAAAGGUGAAAAGAACCCCGGAGAGGGGAGUGAAAUAGAAUCUGAAACCGUUUGCGUACAAGCAGUGGGAGCAUGGUUUAGGCUGUGUGACUGCGUACCUUUUGUAUAAUGGGUCAGCGAGUUACUUUCAGUGGCGAGGUUAACUGAAUAAGGGAGCCGUAGAGAAAUCGAGUCUGAAUAGGGCGAUAGUCGCUGGGAGUAGACCCGAAACCGGGCGAUCUAGUCAUGUGCAGGAUGAAGGUUGGGUAACACCAACUGGAGGUCCGAACCGGGUAAUGUUGAAAAAUUAUCGGAUGACGUGUGGCUAGGAGUGAAAGGCUAAUCAAGCCCGGAGAUAGCUGGUUCUCCCCGAAAGCUAUUUAGGUAGCGCCUCGUGAAUGAUUACUGGGGGUAGAGCACUGUUUCGGCUAGGGGGCUGUCAUGGCUUACCAAACCGAUGCAAACUCCGAAUACCGGCUAAUUGGAUCACGGGAGACACACGGCGGGUGCUAACGUCCGUCGUGGAGAGGGAAACAACCCAGACCGCCAGCUAAGGUCCCCAAGUACUAGUUAAGUGGGAAACGAUGUGGGAAGGCAUAGACAGCCAGGAGGUUGGCUUAGAAGCAGCCACCCUUUAAAGAAAGCGUAAUAGCUCACUGGUCGAGUCGGCCUGCGCGGAAGAUGUAACGGGGCUAAAACUAGUCACCGAAGCUGCGGAUGUGCGCGAAGGCGCACGUGGUAGGGGAGCGUUCUGUAGGCUGAUGAAGGUGCAUUGAGAAGUGUGCUGGAGGUAUCAGAAGUGCGAAUGCUGACAUGAGUAACGAUAAUGUGGGUGAAAAGCCCACACGCCGGAAGUCCCAGGUUUCCUGCACGACGUUAAUCGGAGCAGGGUGAGUCGGCCCCUAAGGUGAGGCUGAAGAGCGUAGUCGAUGGGAACCAGGUUAAUAUUCCUGGACUUUUUAUAAGUGGUGAAGUGGGGACGAAGAAGGCUAGGUGAGCCAGGCGUUGGUUGUCCUGGUACUUGCAUGUAGGGGGGAAGACUUGGCAAAUCCGGUUUUCCAUAACUCUGAGGUGCGAAGUGGUUCUGACCUUUUGGUACAGAGAAGUCAUUGAUGCCCGGCUUCCAGGAAAAGCUGCUAGCCAUAACUUAUAGAGAACCGUACCGCAAACCGACACAGGUGGACAGGUAGAGAAUACUAAGGCGCUUGAGAGAACUCGGGUGAAGGAACUAGGCAAAAUGGUACCGUAACUUCGGGAGAAGGUACGCCCUUUUGGGUGAGGGCAUUUACUGUCUGAGCUU